RNAcentral lists this ribosomal RNA (297 nucleotides) under uncultured bacterium. RNAcentral describes it as "partial 16S ribosomal RNA". It matches the Rfam family "Bacterial small subunit ribosomal RNA", at positions 505 to 805 of the family's 1533-position model. The record is from RNAcentral.
GUGCCAGCAGCCGCGGUAAUACGAAAGGGGCAAGCGUUGUUCGGAUUUACUGGGCGUAAAGGGCACGCAGGCGGUCCUGCCAGUCAGGGGUGAAAGCCCGGGGCUCAACCCCGGAACUGCCUCUGAUACUGCAGGACUAGAGACUAGGAGAGGGUGGUGGAAUUCCCAGUGUAGAGGUGAAAUUCGUAGAUAUUGGGAGGAACACCAGAGGCGAAGGCGGCCACCUGGACUAGAUCUGACGCUCAGGUGCGAAAGCGUGGGGAGCAAACAGGAUUAGAAACCCGAGUAGUCCCGAAA